Molecule: ribosomal RNA, 491 nt
Filed under: uncultured bacterium
Lineage: Bacteria
Description: partial 16S ribosomal RNA
Rfam family: Bacterial small subunit ribosomal RNA
Source: RNAcentral
GAUGAACGCUAGCUACAGGCUUAACACAUGCAAGUCGAGGGGAAACGACAUUGAAGCUUGCUUCGAUGGUCGUCGACCGGCGCACGGGUGAGUAACGCGUAUCCAACCUGCCUCUGACCAAGGGAUAACCCGUCGAAAGUCGGCCUAAUACCUUAUGCAGUCGUCGGAAGUCAUCUGAUGACGACGAAAGAUUUCAUCGGUGAGAGAUGGGGAUGCGUCUGAUUAGCUUGUUGGCGGGGUAACGGCCCACCAAGGCAACGAUCAGUAGGGGUUCUGAGAGGAAGGUCCCCCACAUUGGAACUGAGACACGGCCCAAACUCCUACGGGAGGCAGCAGUGAGGAAUAUUGGUCAAUGGGCGAGAGCCUGAACCAGCCAAGUAGCGUGCAGGAUGACGGCCCUAUGGGUUGUAAACUGCUUUUAUGCGGGGAUAAAGUGAGGGACGUGUCCUUCAUUGCAGGUACCGCAUGAAUAAGGACCGGCUAAUUCCGUG